RNAcentral lists this ribosomal RNA (497 nucleotides) under uncultured bacterium. Its description in RNAcentral is "partial 16S ribosomal RNA". It matches the Rfam family "Bacterial small subunit ribosomal RNA", at positions 28 to 507 of the family's 1533-position model. The record is from RNAcentral.
GAUGAACGCUGGCGGCGUGCCUAAUACAUGCCAGUCGAGCGAACAGACGAGGAGCUUGCUCCUCUGACGUUAGCGGCGGACGGGUGAGUAACACGUGGAUGACCUACCUAUAAGACUGGGAUAACUUCGGGAAACCGGAGCUAAUACCGGAUAAUAUAUUGAACCGCAUGGUUCAAUAGUGAAAGACGGUUUUGCUGUCACUUAUAGAUGGAUCCGCGCCGCAUUAGCUAGUUGGUAAGGUAACGGCUUACCAAGGCAACGAUGCGUAGCCGACCUGAGAGGGUGAUCGGCCACACUGGAACUGAGACACGGUCCAGACUCCUACGGGAGGCAGCAGUAGGGAAUCUUCCGCAAUGGGCGAAAGCCUGACGGAGCAACGCCGCGUGAGUGAUGAAGGUCUUCGGAUCGUAAAACUCCGUUAUUAGGGAAGAACAAAUGUGUAAGUAACUAUGCACGUCUUGACGGUACCUAAUCAGAAAGCCACGGCUAACUACGUG